UAAAUAUUAAGCUUAUAUUCCGGUGUUUAAAUUCGGGAUUUUUACAAAUUAAAUUAUCUCCCUUUGUGGAACUCUCGUGUAAAGAAGAUAAAGAAGAAUGAUUGGAGAAAGCCAAAUGUCAACAAAAUGGAUGGUUUGAAAUGUAGUUUUGGUGAAAAUUGUAAAGAGAAAGCAGAUAAUAUACUUUAAGAUUGUAAGAAAGACACUUCAGCACACUUGAGAUUUUUUGAAUGUACAUCUGAGUCAGAUUCGAUAAUGCCCAACCUUGGUGCCAGGCACAUUACUGGAAGAAGAAGAUUUUGCACAAAUACCAGAAUCAUUGUGCUGGUGUGCAUGGGCUGAGGCUGUCAAAUUUCAGCGGGCGUACAUGUGCUAAACACAGGCAGGACUGGAAUUCAGUGGAAAAGGAAAAGGAAAACAUGCUGUAAUUCACUACAUAAAAAAUCUCAAUCAGACACAAUCCCGAGUGGAAUUACAUUCAUUCAAAGCCGAGAGAUAUGGAUGAAGCUGAGCACACAUUUUCCAACUGGUUCUGGUGUUCGCAGAAGACGCAUUGAGAGAAAACUGUGUCAAGAUUAAUACAGAUCUGAAGGAGGAGUUGAAAGAAAUAUGCUGUUUAUUAGAGAGAAACUACAGAUUCUGAAGCAAUGGAUGCUGAUAUAUCUUUUUCUAACCCAAGAGAUUUUGAUCUUCUGUCAUCUCAGAAAACUGUGGGGUCUGAUCAGUCCAAAGAUGAAAGAUCAGAGCAUGAAAUCUUAUAUAAAUUGAUUAUUUUAGGCCAUUAAUAGACAAACGUGUAUCAAUUGAGGAUGUAAACUAGAUAAUAGCACUUCAUUAUUGAUUUGAUGAUAAGAGUUGUCUAACAUCACUUGUAUGAAUUGAUGAUGUUAUUUAGCCAAAAGUGCUACAUGUAUGAAUGUUGGCUAGUAGCUCUACAUGUAUGAAUUAAUGAUGUUAGUUAUUUAAUAGUGCUACAUGUAUGAAUUGAUAAUUUUAUUUGUCUAAUAGUGCUACAAGAAGGAAUUGAUAAUGUAAGUUUGCUAAAAACAUUACAUAAUUAUAUGAAUUGAUGUUGUCAGUUCUCUAAUAGCAUUUCAUGUAUGAAUGAUGAUGUUAGUCCUCUAUUAGCACUACAUGUAUACGAAUUGAUAAUGUUUUUGUAAUAAUAGCGCUACAGGUAUGAAUUGAUUGUUAUUUGGCUAAUAGCGCUACGUGUAUCAAUUGAGGAUAUACAUGUAAACUUUAUGGAUGAUUUGAUGAUAAAAGUUGACUUAUAGCACUUGUGUGAAUUGAUGGUGUUACUUGGCUAGCCAAUUGUGCUAUACGUUUGAAUUGGUGAUGUUCUAAGACUAGUAGCGCCACAUGUAUUAAUUGAUGAGGUUAUUUUGCUAACAGCGCUACAUGAAUUGAUGAUGUUAUUUGGCCAAUAGUGAAACAUGUACAUACAUGAAUUAAUGACCAUAGUUGUCUUAAAUUGCUACAUGUUUAAAUUGAUGAUGUUAUUUGGCAAAUAGUGCUUCAUGUAUGAAUUGAUGUUGUUUGGUUAUUAGUGCUAUAUGUAGGAAUCAAUGAUGUUAUUUAGCUUUUAGUGCAACAUGUAUGAAUGAUGAUAACAGUUGUUUAAUAGCACUACAUAUAUGAAUUUAUGAUUUUAUUUGACUAAAAGAUAAGUGCUACAUGUGUGCAUUGUUGGUGUUUGGUUAUUAGUGCUACAUGUAUAAAUUGAUGGUAAUACAUGUAUUUGUCUAAUAGUGUUACAUGUAUGAAUUGAAAAUAGAUGUCUUAUACGGCUACAUGUAUAAAUUAAUGAUUUUAUUUGACUAAUAGCACUACAUGUAUGAAUUGAUGUUGUUAUUUGGCGACAAGUGAUACAUGUAUUAAUUGAUAAUAGUUGUCUACUAUUGCUACAUGUAUAAAUUGAUGAUUUUACAUGACUAAUAGCACUACAUGUAUUAUUGAUGAUGUUAUUUGGCUAAUAGGGAUGCAUGUAUUAAUUGAUGAUGAUAGCUUUCUAAAUUAAAAUUAAUUGCACAUCUCUGUCUUUUUUUCGUAAGUUACUGAAUAGUGAAUAUUUCAAUUCACAGAUUUUGUUUCUUUUUCUGAAAUUAAAAUUCUCUAUCCGAUGUAUUCAUUGAAGGUUAAAUUUGGUUGUAUUGCAUAUUUUAUUUCAUAGCUUUGUAAACAAUGGCUAUUCAUAUUUCAUGAAUAUAACUGCAACAAUUUGGUCUUUGCUUUUUGCUCCAUUUGAAGCAAAGGCUCAUUACAAGUAUCUCUUAUAAAUGAGUGUUACAUGUAGGCUUUUCAGGAGUUUUUUUUUCAUAUCAGGUAAUAUAUGCACAUUUUGAAGUUUAUAACUGUAUCAAAUAAUCCAUGAAUAUUAAACAGGUUAAUUAUUAAGUUAAAGAUUGUUAUUUGCUGUGUUCUUCUCAGAUAUCAUCUUGACAAUAUACUUAUGCUGUAAACUCUGCUCAAAAAUACAAAUGUAUACGAUAAAAAAAAUCGUUUGAUAUGUACACUCAUUAAAAU
Magallana angulata is the source of this 2526-nucleotide long non-coding RNA. RefSeq lists it as uncharacterized. The transcript is spliced from 4 exons. The record is from RefSeq and is a predicted model, not a curated record. NCBI's taxonomy places the organism in Eukaryota, Metazoa, Mollusca, Bivalvia, Ostreida, Ostreidae.